GAAGCAGUUGCCAUGGGCAGCAGAAUCCACAGGAGCAGCGGAUCCCGAAGUAGAUCUUUGUGGUUCACCUCAGGUGCAAAAAUGAAAAGGAGGGGAAAGAAAACUCAGUGGCAGGGAUGGUGAAGGGCUUACAUAAUGUUGCCAGCAGUAGGCAAUCUGGCCAGGUUGAUAGUAGCAUCCCAUAGUGGACAGCUUCUUGCCUGAGCCUCACUUCAGUGAAGCAUGCAGUCAUGACCAGGACUUGCAAAAAAAAAAAAAAAAAAGUAU
Molecule: long non-coding RNA, 267 nt
Organism: Lacerta agilis (Sand lizard)
Lineage: Eukaryota; Metazoa; Chordata; Lepidosauria; Squamata; Lacertidae
Exons: 2
Source: RefSeq, a predicted model, not a curated record